GAUGAACGCUAGCUACAGGCUUAACACAUGCAAGUCGAGGGGUAACGAGAGGGAAGCUUGCUUUCCUUGUCGACGACCGGCGCACGGGUGAGUAACGCGUAUCCAACCUGCCCCCAACUAGGGAAUAACCUUGCGAAAGUAAGACUAAUACCCUAUAAUUUCCUCAGAUGUCAUCUGACGAGGAAUAGAGAUUUAUCGGUUGUGGAUGGGGAUGCGUCUGAUUAGCUUGUUGGCGGGGUAACGGCCCACCAAGGCAACGAUCAGUAGGGGUUCUGAGAGGAAGGUCCCCCACAUUGGAACUGAGACACGGUCCAAAAUCCUACGGGAGGCAGCAGUGAGGAAUAUUGGUCAAUGGGCGGAAGCCUGAACCAGCCAAGUAGCGUGCAGGAUGACGGCCCUAUGGGUUGUAAACUGCUUUUAUACAGGAAUAAAGUUAGCCACGUGUGGUUAUUUGUAGGUACUGUAUGAAUAAGGACCGGCUAAUUCCGUGCCAGCCGCCGCCGUAA
This 506-nucleotide ribosomal RNA is filed under the name uncultured bacterium. RNAcentral describes it as "partial 16S ribosomal RNA". It matches the Rfam family "Bacterial small subunit ribosomal RNA", at positions 28 to 523 of the family's 1533-position model. The record is from RNAcentral.